UAUCACAGCCAUCUUUGAUGAGCU
Molecule: microRNA, 24 nt
Filed under: Limulus polyphemus (Atlantic horseshoe crab)
Lineage: Eukaryota; Metazoa; Arthropoda; Merostomata; Xiphosura; Limulidae
Also listed under: 2 other names
Description: Lpo-Mir-2-P1i_3p (mature (guide))
Source: RNAcentral